Molecule: transfer RNA, 77 nt
Filed under: Patescibacteria group bacterium
Lineage: Bacteria
Description: tRNA-Val
Rfam family: tRNA
About the family: Transfer RNA (tRNA) molecules are approximately 80 nucleotides in length. Their secondary structure includes four short double-helical elements and three loops (D, anti-codon, and T loops).
Source: RNAcentral
GGGUGAUUAGCUCAGUUGGUUAGAGCGCUACCUCGACACGGUAGAGGUCUCAGGUUCAACUCCUGAAUCACCCACCA